AUAUUGGGAUCUGAGUGCCUAACUCCCUUAGGCAACUUUGGAAAUCCCAACCAAGAUCAGAAGCAGGGGGUAUGGGAAAAAGAGAACGAGACACAGACAGAGAGACUCAGUGUGUGAGAGAUGAAAGGUAUCCACAUAUACACGGAGAAAGUAAAUAGGGAAGUAUUAUUUACUCCUCAUAACGCAAGAACUAGGGCCAUGAAAUGAAAUGAAUAGGCAGCAGGUUUAAAACAAACACAAGGAAGUGUUUCUUCAGUCAAUGCACAGUCAACCUGAGGAACUCUUUUCCAGGCGAUGUUGUGAAGGCCAAGACUAUAAUAGGGUUAAAAAAAAACUAGAUAAAUCCUUGGAGGACACGUCCAUCAACGGCUAUUAGCAGGGCAGGGAUGGUGUCUUUAGCCUCUGUUUGCCAGAAGCUGGGAAUGGGCGACAGGGGAUGGAUCACCUGAUGAUUUCCUGUUCUGUUCAUUCCCUCUGAGGCACCUGGCUCUGGCCACUGUGGGGACACAGGAUACUGGGCUGUAGUGGGUGGGACCCACGAUAGCCCUGUGCUACUCAGGUUGCUCUUUAUUCAACAUUAAGGAAACCACACGGUGAGAGACCCGAGUUCCAAAUAUCUAGGUGAAGACGUACAGCGCCUGGCUACUAACCCACACGGCUUCUCUGGCAGGUUCCGGUGGGUCCUGCAGCAGCAGACAGGGGAGACCGCCAGAGGGCUCCGAGACUGUUGAUAGGGACAACACCCAGUCCCUACACAUCACAGGGAGCAAAUCUCCGUGUCUGCGUGUGAGCUACAAUUUGUUACAGGUGUCGGCAGAGGUUUGCAGCCCGAGGCUCAGACUUCAGCCGACUCGCCCGAGCUGUCCGAGCUCCGUUGGGUCAGCGGCUGGCCUGGAGAUACCUGAAACCUCGCAAAUGAUUCAAUGUGUUUUCCUUGCGCUGGCCUUGGCACCGCGUGUCCUUUCCCAGCUGCAGCUGGUGGCCUCCGGCCCUGGGUCGGGGAAGGUCUCCGAGCCCCUCACACUGACCUGCGCUGUCUCCGGGUUCUCCAUCAAUACUCAAUAUUCCUACUGGUACUGGCUCCGUCAGCCUCCUGGAGAAGGGCUGGAGUCCAUGGGGUAUGUUUAUCCAUAUAACGGGGAUACCAGCUACGCCCCGUCUUUCCGAGGCCGGAUCACCAUCUCUGCAGACACCGCCAAGAACCAGGUCUCCCUGACGCUGCGCUCCCUGACAGCUGCGGACACCGCCACCUAUUACUGCGCCCGGAGAGACACAGUGACACAGAGACCGGGGGCCUGGCACAAAAAGGGGGCCAGCCACACGCGUCCCCUGUCGGAGAAAAGGCACCUGACUUUGCCCUUGCGGUCCGCCCCCUUCUGAGGUCACUUUAAGUUGAAGGAGACGCUUUGUCACAGGCCACCACGAAGCUGGAGAGAAGCAGAGAAAGAGGAAACACCUGCGCUGGUGAAUGGGCAGGAGAGAGACUUUGUUACAGGAGUUUUGCAGUUUUGGAAACCACCAAUCUGGGCCUAAGGUUGCAACAGACUGUCCUGUCCGCUCCGCAGCUUAACUGGGGAGCUGGGGUUCUGGGGGGCCCCUCUGCCAAAUGACUGGUAUUUCCUGGCUGCUCUAGCUCUGGCCCAUGGAAGGGAGUGUGGGUGUAUGUGUGAGUUUUUCCUGGUGAGGUAGAGUAUUUGUGGGUGUGUUUGUGUAACCCACACACCUCCGGGGUGUGGUGUUCUGUCCCAUCUAGUGGCACCGAGCCCACUUAGAGUGAGAUUAAUGAGUUUGCUCUACAGCCUUAGCUUACAGCCAAGUGACUUUUAGCUCAUGCCCUAGAGGCUCAUACACUAAGCACCACAGGUCCCAGGUUUCAACCACCGGGGUCUGUUGGUGUUACUUUUGCACCUGUGUGUGAGAGGAGUUGUGUUGAUUCAUGUUUGCAUGAGAGCAUUUGGAGAA
Molecule: non-coding RNA, 1962 nt
Organism: Caretta caretta (loggerhead turtle)
Lineage: Eukaryota; Metazoa; Chordata; Testudines; Cheloniidae
Source: the annotation of a RefSeq genome assembly